This 98-nucleotide small nucleolar RNA is filed under the name Suricata suricatta (meerkat). RNAcentral describes it as "Small nucleolar RNA U13 (ENSSSUG00005001706.1)". It matches the Rfam family "Small nucleolar RNA U13". The record is from Rfam by way of RNAcentral. Lineage: Eukaryota; Metazoa; Chordata; Mammalia; Carnivora; Herpestidae.
ACCCUUUUGUAGUUCAUAAACAUGACUAGGUGUUCACACCUUUGUGUCAUAUGUGCCUCCCUCAUACCUUAUGACCUUGGCACAUUAUCUGUCUGAUG